UACGGAAGGUCCGGGCGUUAUCCGGAUUUAUUGGGUUUAAAGGGAGCGCAGGCUGUAGAUUAAGCGUGACGUGAAAUGCCGCGGCUCAACCGUGGAAGUGCGUCGCGAACUGGUUUGCUUGAGUGCGGUCGACGCAUGCGGAAUUCGUUGUGUAGCGGUGAAAUGCUUAGAUAUGACGAAGAACCCCGAUUGCGAAGGCAGCGUGCGAGUCCGUAACUGACGCUAAAGCUCGAAGGUGCGGGUAUCGAAC
This 250-nucleotide ribosomal RNA is filed under the name uncultured prokaryote. Its description in RNAcentral is "partial 16S ribosomal RNA". It matches the Rfam family "Bacterial small subunit ribosomal RNA", at positions 524 to 773 of the family's 1533-position model. The record is from RNAcentral.